UGGGAUAUUCUCUUCAGGGUGACGAG
This 26-nucleotide non-coding RNA is filed under the name Homo sapiens (human). Lineage: Eukaryota; Metazoa; Chordata; Mammalia; Primates; Hominidae. The record is from RNAcentral.